Molecule: long non-coding RNA, 2200 nt
Organism: Sorghum bicolor (sorghum)
Lineage: Eukaryota; Viridiplantae; Streptophyta; Magnoliopsida; Poales; Poaceae
Exons: 12
Source: RefSeq, a predicted model, not a curated record
UCUAUGGCACUGAUUUCGUAGGUGUACUUUCGUAUUACGCCGAUUCGGCUUCGUCUGUAGCGUUCUAGCCUGAUUCUGCUUAAUUUGUUUAGAUUCAUUCGUUCAUGAGCAAUUACUUCUGGCUCCUGCUUUUUCUUCACCUCCUAAUCUUCUCCCUUGGCUUCUACGCGUAUGUUCCCAUAGUCUUUGCAUCUUUCCUGACCCGUGUGGCUCUGCUUUUUUCCUCUCUCCUAUUUUCUGCCGCUGUCUCCUCACAUCUGUCGCCAGCAACGUCUCCGCCAGGGUUGGUGACCGUCCUUUCUCUCUGUUUCGACUCGUCGUGGGGAUUCGCUGCCGCCGUCGGUGGGUCGGCCUCGCUCCUCUUGCUCGUGCGGGGGGCUGCCGCGGCGCACCCCCCGCAGUGGUUUCGUCUUCCUUCGCCCUCUGCUGCUCUGAUACAGGGCUACACCAUUGCUGUUUCGGAUCCACUGGUGUCCGCUCUUGUCAGCAUCGUGCUAUCGUGGAUUGUGGUUUGCUGCUGCUGGCUCAUACCCAUCUUGGCAGGUAUUUGCCUGGUCGGUUCCUUUAUUGCCUAAUUUAUCUGUUUGCCUUGGCUUUGAUUUGCUGCUGUUGGCUCUGCUCGACCGAAGUAGUAUCAGAUUUGCCGGUGUGAGCUGUUCUCCGUGUUGCCAGCCUCUAGAUUUAUUGUACCUGGGUGCCGCGGUGUUUGCGUUGUUCUGAGUUGUUUUCUCAGCUCCGUUGGUGCUACGUUCUGCUGUUUUAUUCAGUAACAAUGAACUUAAAAUAACUCUUUGGGGUGAUCACGCGGUCAAUUUCACGGUGGGCGAUCUUAACACUAGAGACAACCCAAAAGCUGUUAUUGGUCUCUUUGUGGGUUUUAUACCCAGGAAAUGGCACUCCCACAGUUCUGAACAGAAGCCUUAUCUUAGUGGCAGCAGCAGUUCUUAUCACUAUCUAAACCCAGAUAUUACAGAAGCUUUACCAUUUUACAAUAGGUUCAGAAAUGAAGCCAUAUACAUAGAACAUCCUGAAACAUCUGAAGCUGAAAAAGAUGUGCAACCACAGCAUACUCCAUUGGACCAAAAGACCAUUGCUGAGCUAAAUAGUAUAGAUCCAUAUGAGUUCAUGAAAUUUGUUGACCUUAUAAUAGGAUGAAGGUUAUAAAUGUGCAGUUAACAUAACAAAAAUAGCCGAUGAUAAUAACUGGUGGUACAUGUCCUAUAAGGAAUGCAAGAAAAAAAUGGAUCCACAGGCCGGUGGUGGGUAUCGAUGUCCAAAAUGCCAUGGAACAAGCAGUUUACCCAGAUACCUAUUCAAUUUUAGUGCAAAGGACGACACAGGAGAAGCAAACUUGUUUGGAUAUGAUGAAACAGCUAGGAUAAUUAUUCAGAAAGACUGCAAUCUAAUUUUGAAUCCUUUGAAGCUAACAUUGGGACUUCCUCAGCAACUCUGUUAUCACUAAAAAAUUUGUCUUCUCCAUCAACCUUACAGAAGACUCAUUUACCUCUAAAGCAAAGAGACAGUAUUUGGUAAAACAUGUCUUAGAGAGACUUUACAGGCCAGGCUCCCUGCUCAACACUGCUGCAAUUGCAAAGGUUAACCAAACAAUACAAUCACCGCCAAGCAGCUCAGCACUCGCGCAGAACCUGCCUCCAGCAGCACGCGCAAUAAAGGUUCAGCAGGAGACUCUUCAGAUUCAGCAAGAGAAUGAAGCAACACCUGUUCCAGCCACUGAAAUAGAACAAACAACCAGAAAGGAACACAGCACCCAACUACCAACAGAGGUGCCUACCGCUCGUAGACGUUUGUUUGAGGAUACAGACGCAACAUAACAUGAUAGCACACCGGUACAAGUGGAUAAGGAUGACAUUGACAGUCCACCAGGCUCGCCACCGCACCCAAAAACAAAAAGAGCUAAAAUUCAGAAAUCAAAGCGCUGACCAUUACGGAUGUCGCACAGGAAAUCCUAGGCUACAACACACCUGCGGAAAUGUUUUGUGGCUGCGAAUGCUUCCCAGGCUUUACAUGCUACUCGAUCACGAAUAAAUAUAGAGGCAACUAAUGCUCUUUUGUCUGUAAAAUCAAAAUCACUGUAUAUGUGUAUAAGACUGUUCCGCAUCCAUCAUGUGUUAUAUGUAAAAUAUACACUGCUUCCAUCUAUGCUGCCAUCAACCAAUCAGUUGACCCUCCAUAGACCUUA